This is a long non-coding RNA of Gadus morhua (Atlantic cod), 2300 nucleotides long. Lineage: Eukaryota; Metazoa; Chordata; Actinopteri; Gadiformes; Gadidae. The record is from Ensembl.
UGCAGGUGAGGUUGAAUUCCAUCUCGGUUGCGGCCGCCGCGCGCACUCGGAUACCUCUUUCCACUCUCCUCCUUUCUCCGCACGCCCGCGCCCACCGAGUCCCCAUCUCCCUCCCAGCUCCGAGCGCGCUCCCGCUGCCGCUCCCGCUGCCGCUCGCUCUCUACAGCCGUGGCCGCGAGCGGAGUGCGGCUCGACCCGACGGCGCGCUGUGUAGGUCUGCUGCCUCUCACAUGGAAAGCGCAGCUCCCUAGUUUCCCUUAGCUCGUCUCUCGCACGGCUCUCUGUGUCUCUGGCCGACCGCGACACACGUAGAGCAGUGCAAAACCCCGGGGGCCUGUAUUUGGAAUAAGAAAAGCAUUGCUGCUUUGCGACUGGACGGACGAAAGAAAGGACUCCUCUGACAUUUCCUGUGGAUGUUUUAAUUCGGACGCCUCGUUACCGAGGCUUUGCAGUCAACUGCCUGGGCAUAUAAUGUAACCAGCAGUUCUCCUGCAGGGAGGUUCAGAGGAGUUCUCUUCUUUCUUUUUCUGGUCGUUGGCAGCAAUCGCGAUCAAGCAUUCCAAGCAGUUCUCUUUCCUGAGACGAAAACCGCAGGAUGGCGCUUGGGAAAGGUCUCGGGGGAGAGAAUGUUUCAUGACUUUCACACCUUCAACCUCAAGCUCUUGAACUGUCUGGGAGGUGGCUUGAGUGCUGAAAGGUAAGUUUGAAUUUAUGUUUUAGGACUGUAUUGUACACACACUCACUUGACUUGUCGGUAACACAACCGUUCCAACUGUCGGUACGCAGCAACAUUUUAAACACAGUCCAAUCAACUGCUGUCAAUUACAGGUAGAUCAUUAUCCAAUCAGCCGUUGGCUCUUGGACAAUACUCUGUAGACUGCUUAGAAAAACACAGAUUCACUCAGACCCCGAUAAACAAGCUGUUAAGCAGCAUAAUGAAGUGAUGGCGUUCAUGGCUGGAAUUUAUUGGACCAAUCCGGGUCUGUGCUAACACUGGACCAGAGUGGGGCACCCGGCCCUUCAGAGGGUGUGAGUGUGGAGAAGACCCUAGUACCCCCCUCCCCCCCCCCCCCUCCGAACUGUUUUCAUUAGCCUGGUGCCAGAGAUCUGCGGAGGUCCGCCUUGGUGAUCACGGAUACCAGCGAGCCAAUAAGGACUCGCACUGAACCGCGUCUGACAGAGAUAAAUGGCACAUCGCAGCGUCUGAAACCUCUGUGCGUUGCCUCUGUUACACAUUGACUUUUUAGCAUUGAUGGAAGACAAGCGGACCGCACACAGACCCGAAUAGGCUUUGUGGGGGUGGGGGAAGAGUACGGAGGGUAUAUACGCCGGGUGUGCACGGUGUGUGACGCUGUGUUGCAAAUGAACCAAAUCCGCUUGUCAUUCAGAUGUGUUGUGUGUUUGCUCCUGUGUGAAUGUUCCCGUUUUAAACCAAAACAGAUCUUUGAACAAACGAUAAGCCGCUUGUACAGUGUGGCCAUAUAGCUUAUUAUGCGUACUUGGAUGACGAAGCACAAUGUAUUGGAGGAAUGUGGUGCCUCCAGACAUGUUUGCGUAACAUAUCCCAUGAAUGUUUAAUUAAUAGUUCUGGCAUCCAGACUUUUAAGUGGACCAUGUCUACUUGAUUAAGGGUUUCAAAACAACAACAGCACUUUUUGUUCUCCCUUUCCCUUCAAAAUGACUGUAGCCAGCCGUUGUACAUAAUAAAGUUACCUGGCUACAGUUUUCAGUUCGACCAUGAACUUCCAAACGAAUUAAAACCAUUUCAAACCAAAAAGGCAAAUUGAAUAAUGAACAUUAAAACGACAAUUACUGCACUGCACUGCAAUGAAUAAUGUUUUGCGUCGCUCAUUUUUAAAGACCAGUGUCGGCCUCACUUAAAGACAUAUUUCAGUAAGUAAUCGGCGGGCAUUUGUUCCCCCACGCGUCUCCAGUUUCAUCGGAUCAUAGCGCAGGCAGCGGGCUGGUGAGUCGGAGGCUUAAUGACAGGCCUCUGACGCGUCGUUAGUCUGACGCUCCUGUCUAUCCCUUUUGUUUGGUAGGCUGCCCCUUGCGUCACCUCUGUAUGUGUGUGUGUGUGUUUGUGUGCACCACAUAAGGUUGUGUGAAAUGAAUAUGCGUGUGUGUUGUGCUACGUUGGUCGAUUCCAGGGUGUGUGGCCAUACAUAGAGGAGGCAUAUGUGUGCGUGUGCAUCUGGGGUAAGUGUGUAGAAGUGUGUAGAGUGGAGUGUACCACGUCGGAAGUGUGCGCGUGCAUGUGCGAGCGUGCAUGGGCAUGUAGGUGUGAGCAGGGGGUGUCU